GGGCCCGCACAAGCAGCGGAGCGUGUGGUUUAAUUCGAGGCUACACGAAGAACCUUACCCGGGUUUGACAUACAAGUAGUAGUGAAGCGAAAGCGGAACGACCUUCGGGAGCUUGAACAGGUGCUGCAUGGCUGUCGUCAGCUCGUGCCGUGAGGUGUUCGGUUAAGUCCGCAAACGAGCGCAACCCUCGGCGUUAGUUACAAGUGUCUAACGCAACUGCCCGUGAGAAACGGGAGGAAGGUGGGGAUGACGUCAAGUCAGCAUGGCCUUUAUAUCCGGGGCUACACACACGCUACAAUGGGCGGUACAACGGGUCGCGAAGCCGCGAGGUGGAGCCAAUCCAGAAAGCCGUUCGUAGUUCGGAUUGCAGGCUGCAACUCGCCUGCAUGAAGUCGGAGUUGCUAGUAACCGCAGGUCAGCUAUACUGCGGUGAAUACGUUCCCGGGCCUUGUACACACCGCCCGUCACGUCAUGGGAGCUGGUCACGCCUGAAGUCGGGGANCUAACCGCAAGG
This 514-nucleotide ribosomal RNA is filed under the name uncultured bacterium. RNAcentral's name for it is "bacterial SSU rRNA". It matches the Rfam family "Bacterial small subunit ribosomal RNA", at positions 917 to 1446 of the family's 1533-position model. The record is from RNAcentral.